This 497-nucleotide ribosomal RNA is filed under the name uncultured bacterium. RNAcentral describes it as "partial 16S ribosomal RNA". It matches the Rfam family "Bacterial small subunit ribosomal RNA", at positions 28 to 507 of the family's 1533-position model. The record is from RNAcentral.
GAUGAACGCUGGCGGCGUGCCUAAUACAUGCAAGUCGAGCGAACGAGGGAGGUGCUUGUUUCUAUGAGGUUAGCGGCGGACGGGUGAGUAACACGUGGAUAACCUACCUUUAAGACUGGGAUAACUUCUGGAAACCGAAGCUAAUACCGGAUGAUAACUUGAAACGCAAGGUUCAAAAUUGAAAGACGGUAUUGCUGUCACUUAAAAAUGGAUCCCGUUUGCAUUAGCUAGUUGGUAGGGAAACGGCUAACAAAGGCAAGGAAGAAUAGCGGACCGGAGAGGGGAUCCGCCCAAAUGGGACUGGGGAAACGCCCAAACUCCUAAGGGAGGCAGCCGUAGGGAAUCUUUGGGCAUGGACGAAAGUCUGAACGGGCAACGCCGCGUGAGUGAAGAAGGUUUUCGGAUCGUAAAAAUCUGUUGGUAGAGAAGAAAGUUGGGGAGAGUGGAAAGCGCACAAAGUGACGGUAACUAAUCAGAAAGGCACGGCUAACUACGUG